Non-coding RNA from Phrynosoma platyrhinos (Desert horned lizard), 72 nucleotides. Lineage: Eukaryota; Metazoa; Chordata; Lepidosauria; Squamata; Phrynosomatidae. The record is from the annotation of a GenBank genome assembly.
GCCAUCGUGGUGUAGUGGUUUGAACAUUGGACUGUGAUUCUGAAGAGCAGGGUCUGAAUCCCUGCUCAGCCA